RNAcentral lists this ribosomal RNA (497 nucleotides) under uncultured bacterium. Its description in RNAcentral is "partial 16S ribosomal RNA". It matches the Rfam family "Bacterial small subunit ribosomal RNA", at positions 28 to 507 of the family's 1533-position model. The record is from RNAcentral.
GAUGAACGCUGGCGGCGUGCCUAAUACAUGCAAGUCGAGCGAACGGACGAGAAGCUUGCUUCUCUGAUGUUAGCGGCGGACGGGUGAGUAACACGUGGAUAACCUACCUAUAAGACUGGGAUAACUUCGGGAAACCGGAGCUAAUACCGGAUAAUCUUUUGAACCGCAUGGUUCAAAAGUAAAAGACGGUCUUGCUGUCACUUAUAGAUGGAUCCGCGCUGCAUUAGCUAGUUGGUAAGGUAACGGCUUACCAAGGCAACGAUGCAUAGCCGACCUGAGAGGGUGAUCGGCCACACUGGAACUGAGACACGGUCCAGACUCCUACGCGAGGCAGCAGUAGGGAAUCUUCCGCAAUGGGCGAAAGCCUGACGGAGCAACGCCGCGUGAGUGAUGAAGGUCUUCGGAUCGUAAAACUCUGUUAUUAGGGAAGAACAUAUGUGUACGUAACUGUGCACAUCUUGACGGUACCUAAUCAGAAAGCCCCGGCUAACUACGUG